Molecule: long non-coding RNA, 1686 nt
Filed under: Homo sapiens (human)
Lineage: Eukaryota; Metazoa; Chordata; Mammalia; Primates; Hominidae
Description: non-protein coding lnc-ANKRD11-9:1
Source: RNAcentral
AGACAUGUUGCCGCUGAGAAUGCGGCGGGGCGGCCGUGAUUCCUGGGCCCUGAGUAACCGACGGCCGGACUUGCUUGACGUCCGCCGUUACUGCCCCGGCGCUUCAGCCGCUGCGCGGGCCGCGGCCGAGUCCUGUCUUGCGGGCUAACGCGCGCGAGUCCGGUAUCUGGGCCGACGGCGAACGGGCGACGCCCGAGGAAUUCUGUUUGUUCACAUUUGUGAGACACGUUUGCAGCGCAAAGGCAGAAAAACUUCAGUGACAUCCGAGUUUGCGCAACCUAAGGCCUUCGUCCUUGUCGUUCCAGCGUUUAUUCUCCUCCCAUCCAUUUAGAACAUUUGUGGUUUUUUUUUUUGUUUUUUUUUUUUGGAGACGGAGUCUCGCUCCGUCGCCCAGGCUGGAGUGCAAUGGCGCGAUCUCGGCUCACUGCAGCCUCCGCGUCCCAGGUUCAAGCAAUUCUGCCUCAGCCUCCCGAGUAGCUGGGAUUACAGGCGCCCGCCGCCACACCCUGCUAAUUUUUGGUAUUUUAGUAGACGGAGUUACUGUUGGCCUCUGUCGCUUUCCCUUGGCCCAGGAUUAGGUGACUUCUCUAAGGUCAGGGGUACCCGACUGAAAAUGUCACACUCUGACCUGCUGUGCCUACUGCCUUCCUUCACAAAGAAAAGCAUCAACAAAAAGCCAUCUCUUCUCUAGUAUAAGUCUGUGAAGGCACCAUCCAUCUUACUGCUACCUGGAAACCUUUAAAUCCCAAUAACCCUCUUUCUUCCCUACCCUCACCCAAUCACCACGCUUCCUCCUGGUAAAACUUAUUAUUAUUUUUUUUUUUUGAGACGGAGUCUCCCUCUGUUGCCCAGGCUGGAGUUCAGUGGUGCGAUCUCUGUUCACUGCAAGUUCUGCCUCCCGGGUUCACGCCAUUCUCCUGCCUCUGCCUCCCAAGUAGCUGGGACUACAGGCGCCCACCAUCACGCCCAGCUGAUUUUUUGUAUUUUUAGUACAGACGGGGUUUCACUGUGUUAGCCAGGAUGGUCUCGAUCUCCUGACCUCGCGAUCCGCCCGCCUGGGCCUCCCAAAGUGCUGGGAUUACAGGCGUGAGCCACCGUGCCUGGCCAACGUAAUCCACAUUUUAAGAAUUUCACAGUUCCAGCACUUUGGGAGGCUGAGGUGGGCGGAUCAGCCGAGGUCAAGAGUUUGAGAUCACCCUGGCUAAGAUGGUGAAACCCUGUCUCUACUAAAAAUACAAAAAAGCUGGGCGUGGUGGCGCAUGCCUGUAAUCCUAGCUACUUAGGAGGCUGAGUCACCAGAAUUGCUUGAACUGGGGAGGCAGAGGUUGCAGUGAGCCAAGAUCACAUUACUGCACUCUAGCCUGGGCAACAGAGCAAGACUCAGUCUCAAAAAGAAAAAAAAGUAUUUCACAGGCCAGGCACGGUGGCUCAUGCCUGUAAAUCCCAGCACUUUGGGAGGCCGAGGCGGGUGGAUCACCUGAGGUCAGGAGUUGGAGACCGGCCUAGCCAACAUGGCAAAAUCCCGCCUCUACUAAAAAUACAAAAAUUAGCCAUGUGUGGUUGUGUACACCUGUAAUCCUAGCUACUCCAGAGAGUAGGACAGGGGAAUCACUUGAACCCAGGAGGCAGAGGUUACAGUGAGUCGAGACUGCACCACUGCACUCCAGCCUGGGUGACAGAGUUAAG